CCUACGGGAGGCAGCAGUGAGGAAUAUUGGUCAAUGGCCGGAAGGCUGAACCAGCCAAGCCGCGUGAAGGACGAAGGUGCCAAGCAUUGUAAACUUCUUUUGUCAAGGGACAAAAUCAGGCUCGAGAGCCUGACCGAGGGUACUUGAAGAAAAAGCAUCGGCUAACUCCGUGCCAGCAGCCGCGGUAAUACGGAGGAUGCGAGCGUUAUCCGGAUUUAUUGGGUUUAAAGGGUGCGUAGGCGGACUGUUAAGUCAGCGGUAAAAGGCCGGGGCUCAACCCCGGCGAGCCGUUGAAACUGGCUGUUUUGAGAUGUCGAGAGGUAGGCGGAAUGCGCAGUGUAGCGGUGAAAUGCUUAGAUAUUGCGAAGAACUCCGAUUGCGAAGGCAGCAUACCGGCGGCGAUCUGACGCUGAGGCACGAAAGCGUGGGUAUCGAACAGGAUUAGAUACCCCUGUGUC
Molecule: ribosomal RNA, 458 nt
Filed under: uncultured bacterium
Lineage: Bacteria
Description: partial 16S ribosomal RNA
Rfam family: Bacterial small subunit ribosomal RNA
Source: RNAcentral